UACAGCAGCUGAAGCGGCGGCGGCGGCGGCGGAGGAGGCUCGGGCAGAGGGGCGGGAGCUGCGGCGGGAGCGGACGGGCUGGUGGGCUAGCGAGUGGCGGCGGAAUGGUGGACUACCACGCGGCGAACCAGUCGUACCAGUACGGCCCCAACAGCGGGGGCAAUGGCGCCGGCGGCGGGGGAAGCAUGGGCGACUACAUGGCCCAGGAGGACGACUGGGACCGGGACCUGCUGCUGGACCCGGCCUGGGAGAAGCAGCAGCGCAAGACGUUCACAGCCUGGUGCAACUCCCACCUUCGGAAGGCCGGCACACAGAUCGAGAACAUCGACGAGGACUUUCGAGACGGGCUCAAGCUCAUGCUCCUUCUGGAGGUCAUCUCAGGAGAGCGGUUACCUAAGCCGGAGCGGGGCAAGAUGAGAGUACACAAAAUCAACAAUGUGAACAAAGCUCUGGACUUCAUCGCCAGCAAAGGAGUCAAGCUGGUCUCCAUCGGGGCGGAAGAGAUUGUGGACGGCAAUGCAAAGAUGACCCUGGGAAUGAUCUGGACCAUCAUCCUCAGGUUCGCCAUCCAGGACAUCUCUGUGGAAGAGACCUCUGCCAAGGAAGGGCUACUUCUGUGGUGUCAGAGGAAGACUGCCCCGUAUAAGAACGUCAACGUGCAGAACUUCCACAUCAGCUGGAAGGAUGGUCUUGCCUUCAAUGCACUGAUCCACCGGCACCGACCAGAGCUGAUCGAGUAUGACAAGCUGAGAAAGGACGACCCUGUCACCAACCUGAACAAUGCCUUCGAAGUGGCCGAGAAAUACCUAGACAUCCCCAAGAUGUUGGAUGCAGAGGACAUCGUGAACACGGCCCGGCCCGACGAGAAGGCCAUAAUGACCUAUGUGUCCAGCUUCUACCAUGCCUUUUCGGGAGCGCAGAAGGCUGAGACCGCUGCCAACCGGAUCUGCAAGGUGCUGGCCGUCAACCAGGAGAAUGAGCACCUCAUGGAAGAUUAUGAGAGGCUGGCCAGUGACCUCCUGGAGUGGAUCCGGCGCACCAUCCCCUGGCUGGAGGAUCGGGUGCCGCAGAAGACCAUCCAGGAGAUGCAGCAGAAGCUGGAGGACUUCCGGGACUACCGGCGCGUCCACAAGCCACCCAAGGUGCAGGAGAAGUGCCAGCUGGAGAUCAACUUCAACACGCUGCAGACGAAGCUGCGCCUCAGCAACCGGCCCGCCUUCAUGCCCUCUGAGGGCAAGAUGGUCUCGGACAUCAACAACGGCUGGCAGCACCUGGAGCAGGCCGAGAAGGGCUAUGAGGAGUGGCUGCUGAACGAGAUCCGCAGGCUGGAGCGGCUCGACCACCUGGCAGAGAAGUUCCGGCAGAAGGCCUCCAUCCACGAGGCCUGGACCGACGGGAAGGAGGCCAUGCUGAAGCAGCGGGACUAUGAGACGGCCACCCUGUCGGAUAUCAAAGCCCUCAUUCGCAAGCACGAGGCCUUUGAGAGCGACCUGGCUGCACACCAGGACCGCGUGGAGCAGAUCGCAGCGAUUGCUCAGGAGCUCAAUGAGCUGGACUACUACGACUCACACAACGUCAACACCCGCUGCCAGAAGAUCUGCGACCAGUGGGACGCCCUUGGCUCUCUGACCCAGAGUCGCAGGGAAGCUCUGGAGAAAACGGAGAAGCAGCUGGAGACCAUCGACCAGCUGCACCUGGAGUACGCCAAGCGGGCAGCACCCUUCAACAACUGGAUGGAGAGCGCCAUGGAGGACCUCCAGGACAUGUUCAUCGUCCACACCAUCGAGGAGAUCGAGGGCCUGAUUUCAGCCCACGACCAGUUCAAGUCGACGCUGCCGGAUGCCGACAGGGAGCGCGAGGCCAUCCUGGCCAUCCACAAGGAGGCCCAGAGGAUCGCCGAGAGCAACCACAUCAAACUGUCGGGCAGCAACCCCUACACCACGGUCACCCCGCAGAUCAUCAACUCCAAGUGGGAGAAGGUGCAGCAGCUGGUGCCCAAGCGGGACCACGCCCUCCUGGAGGAGCAGAGCAAGCAGCAGUCCAACGAGCACCUCCGCCGCCAGUUCGCCAGCCAGGCCAACAUCGUGGGGCCCUGGAUCCAGACGAAGAUGGAGGAGAUCGGGCGCAUCUCCAUCGAGAUGAACGGGACCCUGGAGGACCAGCUGAGCCACCUCAAGCGCUACGAGCGCAGCAUCGUGGACUAUAAGCCGAACCUCGACCUGCUCGAGCAGCAGCACCAGCUCAUCCAGGAGGCCCUCAUCUUCGACAACAAGCACACCAACUACACCAUGGAGCACAUCCGCGUGGGCUGGGAGCAGCUGCUCACCACCAUCGCCCGCACCAUCAAUGAGGUCGAGAACCAGAUCCUCACCCGCGAUGCCAAGGGCAUCAGCCAGGAGCAGAUGCAGGAGUUCCGGGCGUCCUUCAACCACUUUGACAAGGACCACGGCGGGGCGCUGGGGCCGGAGGAGUUCAAGGCCUGCCUCAUCAGCCUGGGCUACGACGUGGAGAAUGACCGGCAGGUAUGCGCCCCCCUGGGCCCCAGCGGACUGUGGCAUUAACUGCUCUUCUCUCUCUCUCUCCUUCUCUCUGUCUCCCCUCCCUCUCGCCAUCCCACCCCUUGCCAUGUGUGUGCCAUUUCACUGGCUCUCUUGCCUCCUCCCUGCCCUGUGUCUCUCUGGACACCUUCCCCCUUACCCGGUCUCCCGGGGCCGCCUGUCUCCCCGGCUCCCGCCACUGUCCUGUCUCCCUGCUGUGCACAUGGGGCGGCCCCUCUUGCCUUCUCUGGGCCUGGUCUCCUCUGCUGUCCCUGCGUCCUCGAGCAGAAGCAGACAGGCAGCAUGGACUCCGAUGACUUCAGGGCUCUGCUUAUCUCCACAGGAUACAGCCUGGGUGAUGCCGAGUUCAACCGCAUCAUGAGCGUGGUUGACCCCAACCACAGCGGCCUCGUGACCUUCCAAGCCUUCAUUGACUUCAUGUCCAGGGAGACCACCGACACAGACACGGCCGACCAGGUCAUCGCCUCCUUCAAGGUCCUGGCAGGGGACAAGAACUUCAUCACGGCCGAGGAGCUGCGGAGAGAGCUGCCCCCGGACCAGGCCGAGUACUGCAUCGCUCGCAUGGCGCCCUACCAGGGCCCUGACGCCGUGCCCGGUGCCCUCGACUACAAGUCCUUCUCGACAGCCCUGUACGGCGAGAGUGACCUGUGAGGCCCAACCCCCCCGCCCCACCCCCGGAGAAAGCCUGACCGCACGCCCCCUCCUCACAGCCUCCAGGAGGGGCUGGGGGAGCCCUCUGCCCUUCUCCCCGCCACGGGGGCCUCCCAGGUCUUGUUCCCCUGACUCUGUAUCUAUGCAAAGCACUCUGUCAGUCUUUUCUGGGGGGGUGGGGUGGGCAGGGAGGGGCUGGGGCAGGCUCUCUCCUCUCUCUUCGUCAGUCGGCCCCCUCCCCCUGGAUAGGGGUGAGGGAGACGCUCGGGGUCAGCGCUUCUGGUCUGGUAAAUAUGUAUGAUGUGUUGUUUUGUUUUUUAACUCUGUGGAGGGGACAGUGGAUUCCCACAGCGAAACAGGUCACCUCUAGGUCCUAGGAAUGCCCUCCCCACCUCAUCCCUCCUUUGCCCGCCCCCCACCCCCGCCCCCCACGAGGUCCCUUCAAGGCCUCUCACAUCCAGGCCAAAGCCCUAUGUGCCUUGUCCAGGAACCGCCCGGGCCUGCCAUGGGCCCAGCAGAGGGUGACACAGUGCCCGACAGGGAAGAGGACCCCGCCCCUUCCCUUCUUCCCUCCCCCCCAACUUGCGAUUGCCAGGAGAUGGGGGCAUGCAACUCGGCACCCCCCCCUUUUCUGCAUCAGAGGAGUAGGGUUGGGCAGACCAGCCUCUCAUCCCCAGCCAGCCCCCCCCAUCUUGCUUUAUCCGGACAUGUGUAUCUCUCAGCUUUUCUAAGGACCAAAAAACAAAAACACCACAAAACAAAAACAAAAAACCCACAAAAAAAAAAAAACCUAUAAAAAGAAAGGAAUUAAAAACUUUCAGAGAAUUACUAUUUACUUUAUUAACUUACGGAUUUAUUAUAUAAAUAUAUAUUCAGCUAGCGACAUACCCUCGCUGCCUCUUGCUCUCGUAACGCAGACAUAGCUGAUUUGCUGCCCUCCCCCCAGCCCCCUGCUGAUCUUUCUCUGUUGUCUGUCGUUGGGCCUGGGUCUCUGGGGACCCUCCUGAGGUGGAGGGUGGGCUGCUGGCCUGGCUGCCUGUUAGUUGAUGGGUUUUGCUCCCUUCCCCUCCCCCCCCCCUUUUUGAGUUUAUUCUGAUUUAUUUUUUUUCUCGGUUUCUGGAUAAACCACCCUUCUGGGGACAGGAUAAUAAAACAUGUAAUAUUUUUAAGAAGGA
Zalophus californianus (California sea lion) is the source of this 4384-nucleotide RNA transcript. It is a transcript of the gene named actinin alpha 4, with no coding region annotated. Lineage: Eukaryota; Metazoa; Chordata; Mammalia; Carnivora; Otariidae. The record is from RefSeq and is a predicted model, not a curated record. The transcript is spliced from 21 exons.